GAGAGGUGGAGCUUGCUGGAGGAGGUGGCUGGGGACUUUACAGUCCAGCUCCCUUGCCGGUUCUAGCUUUCUAGCGAGUUCACUCUUGCUGCUUCCUCCCUGCCGCUGACACGCGACGAUGUGAGCCAGCUUCCUGAUCGCGCCACGCUUUCCCCACCACGACGAAGCUUCCCCGUGGAACCGAAAGCCAAAGUAGGAAGAAGCCAAGGAGCUCCUACAGUUUGAUCCAAGCAUCAGAAGCACCCACUGUGUUCUGCUGUCCAGCCUCACUCGCCUGCAGCCGCCCCCCCUGCCCUCCAACAGACACUCCAACAGGCUUCAUCUCACUUAGGCAGGAUCUCACUAUGAGGCCCCAUAUCGAACUCCCAGCAGUCCUCCUGCCUCAGCCUCCCAGGAGCGGGCGGGCGCUACCGUUUCUGGCUGAGGUGAGCCAUUUCCCUCCACCAUAAGCUCCUGCCUUGUCACAGGCCUAAGACAGCAGAACCAACCAGGCACACUGGAGCUCUGAAACUGCACCGUCCUCUUCCUGGGGCGCCUGCCUCAGACACCUGCCACUGAGGCCCAAUGCUGACAGGCCACUGCCUCUUUAUCUGCUCCACCUUUGGGACACUGUCCUCGACUUUCUUGAACAUUUCACCACAGGCAGAAGCCCACCACCCCCUCAGGCCCUGGACGAUGAUUCCUCUGUCACCCACUGACAGGCUCUCACUCAGGUCUCGUUAGCCCAGGCUGGCCUGGACCUCACUCUGUACCCCAGACUGGCCUGGGGCUUAUGGUGCUCUCCUUCUUCAGCCUUCCCAGGACUUGGAUUAAAGCCACAAAGCAGAUCCCACGUCAGCACACCCGGAUCUCUCUUUGGAGCAUUUGCUCUGCUCUGAUGAACGAACUUCUGGUUACACUGUAUCUUGACUGAAUGCUUUCCAUGAAGAAGACAAGAGCCGAGAA
Jaculus jaculus (lesser Egyptian jerboa) is the source of this 945-nucleotide long non-coding RNA. RefSeq lists it as uncharacterized. Lineage: Eukaryota; Metazoa; Chordata; Mammalia; Rodentia; Dipodidae. The transcript is spliced from 6 exons. The record is from RefSeq and is a predicted model, not a curated record.